UUCGCCGUCACAAGAUGGCGCUGA
This 24-nucleotide non-coding RNA is filed under the name Mus musculus (house mouse). Lineage: Eukaryota; Metazoa; Chordata; Mammalia; Rodentia; Muridae. The record is from RNAcentral.